This 1432-nucleotide ribosomal RNA is filed under the name uncultured bacterium. RNAcentral describes it as "bacterial SSU rRNA". It matches the Rfam family "Bacterial small subunit ribosomal RNA". The record is from RNAcentral.
AGAGUUUGAUCCUGGCUCAGGAUGAACGCUGGCGGCGUGCUUAAUACAUGCAAGUCGUGCGGUAAGGCUUCUUUUUGAAGUACACGAGCGGCGGACGGCUGAGUAACGCGUGGGAACGUACCCAAAAGUGAGGGAUAAGCAUCAGAAAUGAUGUCUAAUACCGCAUGUGACUUUCGAGUUAAAGCUUUAAGCGCUUUUGGAACGGCCUGCGUAUGAUUAGCUUGUUGGUAAGGUAACUGCUUACCAAGGCGAUGAUCAUUAGCUGGUCUGAGAGGAUGAUCAGCCAGACUGGGACUGAGAACGGCCCAGACUCCUACGGGAGGCAGCAGUAAGGAAUUUUCCACAAUGGGCGAAAGCCUGAUGGAGCAACGCCGCGUGCAGGAUGAAGGCCUUCGGGUUGUAAACUGCUUUUAUAUGUGACGAAUUUGACGGUAGCAUGUGAAUAAGGAUUGGCUAACUCCGUGCCAGCAGCCGCGGUCAUACGGGGAAUCCAAGCGUUAUCCGGAAUUACUGGGCGUAAAGAGUUGCGUAGGUGGCAUAGUAAGCAGAUGGUGAAAGUUCGCGGCUCAACCGCGUAAUCGUUAUCUGAACUAUUAAGCUAGAGAGCGAGAGAGGUAUCUGGAAUUCUCAGUGUAGGAGUGAAAUCCGUAGAUAUUGGGAAGAACACCAAUGGCGUAGGCAGGAUACUGGCUUGUUUCUGACACUAAGGCACGAAAGCGUAGGGAGCGAACGGGAUUAGAUACCCCGGUAGUCUACGCUGUAAACGAUGGAUGCUAGCUGUUCGUGGUAUCGACCCCACGAGUAGCGAAGCUAACGCGUUAAGCAUCCCGCCUGUGGAGUACGGUCGCAAGACUAAAACAUAAAGGAAUUGACGGGGACCCGCACAAGCGGUGGAGCGUGCUGUUUAAUUCGAGGCUAAACGAAGAACCUUACCCAGGCUUGACAUCCUGCGAAUUUCUCCGAAAGGAGAGAGUGCUUUGUUGAACGCAGUGACAGGUGCUGCAUGGCCGUCGUCAGCUCGUGUCGUGAGAUGUUUGGUUAAGUCCAUCAACGAGCGCAACCCCUGUGAUUAGUUAAAUUUUCUAAUUGGACUGCCCUGGUAACAGGGAGGAAGGAGGGGACGACGUCUGGUCCGUAUUGUCCUUACGUCUGGGGCUACAAGCACGCUACAAUGGCUGGUACAAAGGGUAGCCAAAUCGCAAGAUGGAGCAAAUCCCAUCAAAACCAGUCUCAGUUCGGAUAGCAGGCUGAAACUCGUCUGCUUGAAGCUGGAAUCGCUAGUAAUGGUAGGUCAGCUAUACUACCGUGAAUACGUUCUCGGGUCUUGUACACACCGCCCGUCAAACCAUGAAAGUCGCCAAUAUCUGACGUGUGAACUAGAUUCGCCCUAAGGUAGGGGAGAUGAUUGGGGUUAAGUCGUAACAAGGUAACC